Molecule: long non-coding RNA, 423 nt
Organism: Myxocyprinus asiaticus (Chinese sucker)
Lineage: Eukaryota; Metazoa; Chordata; Actinopteri; Cypriniformes; Catostomidae
Exons: 3
Source: RefSeq, a predicted model, not a curated record
GCCCCACAAAGAACAUGGAGAACCCCAUCGAGUUGUUCAGCUUUUCAGAACCCACCAAGUCCACCUGGAAAACAUAAAUAUGGAAAUUUAUGACACACAAGGUCUACCAGUACUCACCAGUACAGGAAGUAGAAGGGCCAUGUACCCCCCACAGAAGAUGGCAAAGAAGACCGCGUAGAACAUGAGCAAGAUGUAGGAGGUGGCCAGAGGGGACAGAAGAUUAACCACACCACACAGGAUGAGUUGACGUCUCUGUUGGAAUCUUUCAAUCCAAAGAGUGGCAGGAGAACAAUAGAGGUAAGAACACAUUUUGUGGUGUGUUGUUCAAAGCUUUCUCAGAGCUGGUUUGUAUUUGCUGUUGUCUAUGCUGCAGUCAGAAUGUCUGUCAGUUCAGUGUCCAUGUGUGGCAGAGCUUUAUUGAAC